UCAUUGUAACGUACAUUGAAAGCAUAUUUUAAAAGUACACAUUUUAAUAUCGACACUGUAAUAUUAAGUUUGAGUGCAUUUUAAGUUACAUUUGAAUCUAAUUAUGAAGUGAAGUUAUAUACGCUUGUACUUCAGGUAAUUCUUUUGGAAAGUGUUCAAUAGUAUAACUACAAAAAUGCACUUAAACCCUAUUAUGCAAUUUUGUGCUGUGUGUAAAGUACACAGAUAGCAAUUAUUGCAGUUGUUAUGUAAUGUUUAAUAAGUUUUGAAAAAGAAAUAUGAUACAAUACAUCUUACACACAAAACCACAUUGAACAAAACACUAAAUGUUCACUUCAAAAGUACAGGUGCACAAAAAUGUGUGUUCUGCUGAAAAGCAAGUGGUUUAAAGCUGGUGCAGUGCUACAUUAUGAUCUAACAAAUAGCAUAACCCACAUUGCAACAGAAAAGUUAAUACUGGCCAAAUGCAAAAGAAAUAAACUUAACACAUUACAAUUGUCUCAAGUGUUCAAAAAAGAACAUUUCAUUAGUAUUGUUUAAUGGAUCAAAGCAGGGCUACUGCAAACAAGACCAAUUGGUGAGUGCACAUAUUUAAAAGUCGCUGACAGCACUUCAUGCAUAUAGGAGUGAUAUGUGGAGGUUGUUUGGCCUUGAUGUCUGUAAAGUAGUAGCUCCCCAAGAAUUUUAGUCUUGGGGAGUUUUUGGUUCAGUACUGAUAUCAGAAUUCCCAUAGACUUUGAAUGCACCACACCUGCACAGCAGUUAGUCACGGCUCCUCCCUGCUCAGAGCUAGCGUGCUUUUCUUUUAAGGCCUUGGUCUGCAUGGAGAGAGGUAACUUUCAAAACAUUCCCAUUUGGUUUUGAAAUCUUAAGAUAUCUGUAUAAAACGCGAUUUUGAUUAUUAUAUUUGUAUUGUAGAAACAGGAGAUGUAAUCGGUUGAGCAGGAAGAUUUGCUGUAUUAUUGUGUUGAAGAAUAUCCUGGCUGUUUUUUUUUUUUACAUAGUUGCAGAAUCUGCUGUUACAGCUGAGCAGUUCAUUGUAUGGACUGGACUAGACUCCACCAGAGAUGUUGAUGCAGAAUGUUCCCAAUGUGAAUGCCAUCCGGUUCCCUGGAGGGUGACGCUGUUCUUCUGGAGUUUCCGUAGACAAGUGUCUCUGAUGUGCGCACGGCCAUCAGACGAAAAUGUAACAAUGAGCAGUUCAGCCAAAAAAA
This is a long non-coding RNA of Cyprinodon tularosa, 1214 nucleotides long. RefSeq lists it as uncharacterized. The record is from RefSeq and is a predicted model, not a curated record. The transcript is spliced from 3 exons. Lineage: Eukaryota; Metazoa; Chordata; Actinopteri; Cyprinodontiformes; Cyprinodontidae.